Long non-coding RNA from Mauremys reevesii (Reeves's turtle), 454 nucleotides. RefSeq lists it as uncharacterized. NCBI's taxonomy places the organism in Eukaryota, Metazoa, Chordata, Testudines, Geoemydidae. The record is from RefSeq and is a predicted model, not a curated record. The transcript is spliced from 3 exons.
GUUGGCUAGUAACUUCUGAUCAGAACAAGCUGUACUUCUGCUGUGCUAAGCAUAGAGUUCUAAGAACUGGCAGAACUCAAGUCAAUGGUCUAGCAUACCAUCCAUAUUCACGUGUCCUCAUCAAGGAAGAGAUCAACCUUUGGUGACAGUUAUCAAUAUUCAGCAUUUUGAUAGGCUGUUCUUUUCUACCCCCACUUUCUGCCACAUUAUCUGUGGUGUUAAGAGUGAAAAGGAUCAAACACACAGCCUCCUCUCGUCUAGGAGAAAAGAAAAAAGAGUGGAAAUGGUGCUUGGAUCUGCGGUCUAGAGAGUUGAUGGACAGGUAAAAGAGGACUUGGAAGUAAGAAGAACAGAAUAUAUUAAGUAUCAAGAGACUGCAGGGGAGAGUGUGAAGGACAAAUACUGAAAACGAACUGCUCCUGUGCUGAUACUUUUUGACUGUAACAGAGAUAAA